GGCGGAGAUGACAAGGGUUCAGGUGGAAGUGCCGCUGCUUCGGCUGCAGCCUCUAGUUCAGGCGGAGAUGACAAGGGUUCAGGUGGAAGUGCCGCUGCUUCGGCUGCAGCCUCUAGUUCAGGCGGAGAUGACAAGGGCUCAGGUGGAAGUGCCGCCGCUGCGGCUGCAGCCUCUAGUUCAGGCGGAGGUGAUAAGGGAGGAGAUGAUAAGGGCGGAGAUGACAAGAACUCAGGCGGAAGUGCCGCCG
Molecule: long non-coding RNA, 247 nt
Organism: Cydia amplana
Lineage: Eukaryota; Metazoa; Arthropoda; Insecta; Lepidoptera; Tortricidae
Exons: 3
Source: RefSeq, a predicted model, not a curated record